This 402-nucleotide ribosomal RNA is filed under the name uncultured prokaryote. RNAcentral describes it as "bacterial SSU rRNA". It matches the Rfam family "Bacterial small subunit ribosomal RNA", at positions 355 to 774 of the family's 1533-position model. The record is from RNAcentral.
UAGGGAAUAUUAGAAAUGGACGAAAGUCUGAUCUAGCAACACCGCGUGUGCGAAGAAGGCCUUCGGGUCGUAAAGCACUUUUUGGAAGGAAUAGGAAGGAAGGUACUUCCAGAAUAAGUCUCGGCUAACUACGUGCCAGCAGCCGCGGUAACACGUAGGAGGCAAACGUUAUCCGGAUUUACUGGGCGUAAAGCGCGUGUAGGUGGUUCUGUAAGUAGGGCGUGAAAGCUCCCGGCUCAACUGGGAGAGGCCGUUCUAAACUGCAGAACUAGAGGAUGGUAGAGGGAGGUGGAAUUUCAGGUGUAGCGGUGGAAUGCGCAGAUAUCCGGAGGAACACCAGUGGCGAAAGCGGCCUCCUGGACCACUCCUGACACUCAGACGCGAAAGCUAGGGUAGCAAACG